RNAcentral lists this ribosomal RNA (253 nucleotides) under uncultured bacterium. Its description in RNAcentral is "partial 16S ribosomal RNA". It matches the Rfam family "Bacterial small subunit ribosomal RNA", at positions 524 to 775 of the family's 1533-position model. The record is from RNAcentral.
UACGAAGGGGGCUAGCGUUGUUCGGAUUUACUGGGCGUAAAGCGCACGUAGGCGGAUCGUUAAGUCGGGGGGUGAAAUCCUGGAGCUCAACUCCAGAACUGCCUUCGAUACUGGCGAUCUUGAGUCCGGAAGAGGUGAGUGGAACUCCUAGUGUAGAGGUGGAAUUCGUAGAUAUUAGGAAGAACACCAGUGGCGAAGGCGGCUCACUGGUCCGGUACUGACGCUGAGGUGCGAAAGCGUGGGGAGCAACAGG